GACGAACCGUGCGAACGUUGUUCGGAAUCACUGGGCUUAAAGGGCGCGUAGGCGGGUUUUCAAGUCUGUGGUGAAAUCCUCCAGCUUAACUGGAGAAGUGCCGUGGAUACUGGAGACCUCGAGGAGGGUAGGGGCAUCUGGAACAGCCGGUGGAGCGGUGAAAUGCGCAGAUAUCGGGAGGAACACCUAUGGCGAAGGCAGCUCGCUGGGACGUUACUGACGCUGAGACGCGAAAGCGUGGGGAGCAAACAGG
Molecule: ribosomal RNA, 253 nt
Filed under: uncultured bacterium
Lineage: Bacteria
Description: partial 16S ribosomal RNA
Rfam family: Bacterial small subunit ribosomal RNA
Source: RNAcentral